CCUGAGGGAUUUGGAGUCCCCCCGGGCUCCCCUGUGGGGUUCCCUGAGGGCUUUGGGGUCCCUUCCCACUUCCCUGAGAGAUUUGGGGUUCCCCCCUCGUUCCCUCGAGGUUUUGGUCCCCCCCCACUUCCCUACGGGGUUCCCUGGGGGCUUUGGGGACCCCCCCCCAGUCCCCUAUGGGGUUCCCUGAGAGCUCAGGGGUCUCCCCAUGGUUCCCUAUGGGGUUCCCUGAGGGAUUUGGGGUCCCUUCCCACUUCUCUGAGGGAUUUGGGGUCCCCCCAUGGUUCCCUGUGGUGUCCCUGGGGACAUUGGGGUCCCUCCUGGUCCCCUCGGGGCUUUGGGGACCCCCCAGUCCCCUUUGGGGUCCCCUGAGGGCUUUGGGGUCUCUCCCCGCUUCCCUAUGGAAAUCCCUGAGGGAUUUGGGGUCCCCCCCUGGUUCCCUGGGGGUUUUGGGGACCCCUCAAUUCGCUGUGGGGUUCCCUGAAGGCUUUGGGGUCCCUCCAGUCCCCCCCCCCGGGUCCCCCAUGGCCUCCCCCCGGAUUUGGGCCGCUCCGCAGGUCCCC
This 563-nucleotide long non-coding RNA is filed under the name Apteryx haastii (Great spotted kiwi). Its description in RNAcentral is "lncRNA (ENSAHAG00000001145.1)". The record is from RNAcentral. Lineage: Eukaryota; Metazoa; Chordata; Aves; Apterygiformes; Apterygidae.